UGGGGAAUAUUGGACAAUGGGCGCAAGCCUGAUCCAGCCAUGCCGCGUGAGUGAUGAAGGUCUUAGGAUUGUAAAGCUCUUUCACCGGUGAAGAUAAUGACGGUAACCGGAGAAGAAGCCCCGGCUAACUUCGUGCCAGCAGCCGCGGUAAUACGAAGGGGGCUAGCGUUGUUCGGAAUUACUGGGCGUAAAGCGCACGUAGGCGGAUAUUUAAGUCAGGGGUGAAAUCCCAGAGCUCAACUCUGGAACUGCCUUUGAUACUGGGUAUCUUGAGUAUGGAAGAGGUGAGUGGAAUUCCGAGUGUAGAGGUGAAAUUCGUAGAUAUUCGGAGGAACACCAGUGGCGAAGGCGGCUCACUGGUCCAUUACUGACGCUGAGGUGCGAAAGCGUGGGGAGCAAACAGG
Molecule: ribosomal RNA, 404 nt
Filed under: Caulobacter vibrioides
Lineage: Bacteria; Pseudomonadati; Pseudomonadota; Alphaproteobacteria; Caulobacterales; Caulobacteraceae
Also listed under: 2 other names
Description: partial 16S ribosomal RNA
Rfam family: Bacterial small subunit ribosomal RNA
Source: RNAcentral